UGCCUCCUAGAGUGUAGCUCAGGCUGUGUUCUUUGCACUGACAGCAGAGGGAGGAGGCAUAGCACCACCAGCCCCCAUCCCAUGUACACCUCAGCCCAGACUUUGUCUGGUCUUGUGAAUGGGAACAUAG
This is a small nucleolar RNA of Suncus etruscus (white-toothed pygmy shrew), 130 nucleotides long. RefSeq annotates it as small nucleolar RNA SNORA51. The record is from RefSeq and is a predicted model, not a curated record. The transcript has a single exon. NCBI's taxonomy places the organism in Eukaryota, Metazoa, Chordata, Mammalia, Eulipotyphla, Soricidae.